This is a long non-coding RNA of Carcharodon carcharias (great white shark), 250 nucleotides long. RefSeq lists it as uncharacterized. The record is from RefSeq and is a predicted model, not a curated record. The transcript has 3 exons. NCBI's taxonomy places the organism in Eukaryota, Metazoa, Chordata, Chondrichthyes, Lamniformes, Lamnidae.
AGAAGGGCCGGCCACCCCAAACUGGAAGCAGGACAACAUUGCCACCUCAAAUAGUCUUUCAAACUGAACAUCAUAUACAUCUUUAAAUACAUAUCCUCCAGGGCCACUUUAACUCCUGGUGGGAGCAGACAGUGAUGAUGUAUGGGAGCCAGGCCCAGCAGAUUCUCAUUGGUAUUUGUCUAGGCAGCUACAGAAUGGAUCGUUCCCAUAAUCAACAGCAGAUUAUCAUUGGAUAAACACAUGGCGAUUG